Arabidopsis lyrata subsp. lyrata is the source of this 140-nucleotide long non-coding RNA. RefSeq lists it as uncharacterized. NCBI's taxonomy places the organism in Eukaryota, Viridiplantae, Streptophyta, Magnoliopsida, Brassicales, Brassicaceae. The record is from RefSeq and is a predicted model, not a curated record. The transcript has 2 exons.
GGUGGAAGAACAAGAGGAUUCAAACCCAGGGUUAGAUGAAGCAGACACGACAGUUGGUACACUGGAAAAUAUUGAUGAACCAAACAACGAUGCUGCAGUCGAAGCAAUAGCAGUUAAAAUUCCUACGCCGGUUGUACCCA